UCAUGUCUAGUCUUGUUAUAGUAUUACUCUUACAGUCCGUCUCCUUCGAGGACGGGCGUGUUCUAUUGCGAUGAUCACACUUGCCCUCCACCUUUGGCCUUCAAGUCUCGUCUUCUGUAAUCCUGACAUUAAGGAAGAUCGUGCAUGGAUCACCUGUGGCCUUGUGGGCAGACCGGAUUGGUUCGUAGUCAGCAUUGGUUGUUCUUACGUUCCUUAUUUCACGAUAUCUCUAUAAGGUGUUUCAGAUACCCAUGACCUUACUGGUGUGCUGACCAUAAGGUAGCUGCCACGUAGCUCCUGCAUGGGCCCCACUCGUCCAAGAUCCGGUGUUCCAGUCCUCUCUCCCGUUCUUCAAACCUUGUUCAAGCAAGGUUCUCAACGUACGCAUCUGGUGCAACCCGAAACUGCCUGCAGAAUUCGCACCACUAACGUUGACGUCCGUCCACCCACGUCGCACUUGCUUACUGGCGCAGACAUUCUUCCUGGAUAACAUCCUCUUCGUGUUGCCUCCUCUUUGCAAUGUGGCCGAGUCACCUGAACCGGGAACUACGAACCAGGAACCACGGACAACAUUUAUCGUCGGCGAUUCGUCAAGGACCACCGAAAGAGCCAUUGCUGUGGAGCGGCGUAAAACUGGCAGCUUCUGAACCUUCGAUCGCGCCUGGUGCACUCGCUGUACGAUGGUGGAUGGCCUUCCACGUCCAGCACAUGCCUUUGAGAUCGGUGCUACUCCAGAUGUCCCUGCAGCCGCAUUGCACCUUUACCCUGAAAUAUCGGGCUUCACGUUCCUUUAUCACUAGCUCGCCUCCUCUGGUGUUCAUCGCACAGGGAAGCCAACCACUGCCGCGUGCCCUCCCGUCUUCACUCCAUGU
Rhipicephalus sanguineus (brown dog tick) is the source of this 872-nucleotide long non-coding RNA. RefSeq lists it as uncharacterized. The transcript has 5 exons. The record is from RefSeq and is a predicted model, not a curated record. Lineage: Eukaryota; Metazoa; Arthropoda; Arachnida; Ixodida; Ixodidae.